AGACCGAUAGCGAACAAGUAGAGUGAUCGAAAGAUGAAAAGCACUUUGAAAAGAGAGUUAAAAAGCACGUGAAAUUGUUGAAAGGGAAGCGCUUGCGACCAGACUCGCCUCCAGGGUUCAGCCGGCAUUCGUGCCGGUGUACUUCCCUGGGGGCGGGCCAGCGUCGGUUUGGGCGGCCGGUCAAAGGCUCCCGGAAUGUAGUGCCCUCCGGGGCACCUUAUAGCCGGGAGUGCAAUGCGGCCAGCCUGGACCGAGGAACGCGCUUCGGCACGGACGCUGGCAUAAUGGUCGUAAACGACCCGUCUUGAAACACGGACCAAG
Molecule: ribosomal RNA, 321 nt
Filed under: Aspergillus flavus
Lineage: Eukaryota; Fungi; Ascomycota; Eurotiomycetes; Eurotiales; Aspergillaceae
Description: LSU rRNA
Rfam family: Eukaryotic large subunit ribosomal RNA
Source: RNAcentral